GAUGAACGCUGGCGGCGUGCUUAACACAUGCAAGUCGAACGGAAAGGCCCAAGCUUGUUUGGGUUCUCGAUUGGCGAACGGGUGAGUAACACGUGGGUGAUCUGCCCUGCACUUCGGGAUAAGCCUGGGAAACUGGGCCUAAUAUCGGAUAGCACACCACCUUGGAUGUUGUGGUGGAAAGUUUUUUCCGUGUGGGAUGAGCUCGCGGCCUAUCAGCUUGUUGGUGGGGUAAUGGCCUACCAAGGCGUCGACGGGUAGCCGGCCUGAGAGGGUGUACGGCCACAUUGGGACUGAGAUACGGCCCAGACGCCUACGGGAGGCAGCAGGGGGGAAUAUUGCACAAUGGGCGCAAGCCUGAUGCAGCGACGCCGCGUGGGGGAUGACGGCCUUCGGGUUGUAAACUCCUUUCGCUAGGGACGAAGCGUUUUGUGACGGUACCUGGAGAAGAAGCACCGGCUAACUACGUG
Molecule: ribosomal RNA, 467 nt
Filed under: uncultured bacterium
Lineage: Bacteria
Description: partial 16S ribosomal RNA
Rfam family: Bacterial small subunit ribosomal RNA
Source: RNAcentral